GGAGGACUUAGCUUAAUUAAAGUGCCUGGUUUGCAACCGGGUGUUGUAAAUUAGAGUUUUACAGGCCUU
RNAcentral lists this transfer RNA (69 nucleotides) under Homopholis fasciata. Its description in RNAcentral is "tRNA-Ala". It matches the Rfam family "tRNA". Rfam says of the family: Transfer RNA (tRNA) molecules are approximately 80 nucleotides in length. Their secondary structure includes four short double-helical elements and three loops (D, anti-codon, and T loops). Lineage: Eukaryota; Metazoa; Chordata; Lepidosauria; Squamata; Gekkonidae. The record is from RNAcentral.